This 1344-nucleotide long non-coding RNA is filed under the name Felis catus (domestic cat). Its description in RNAcentral is "lncRNA (ENSFCAG00000053521.1)". Lineage: Eukaryota; Metazoa; Chordata; Mammalia; Carnivora; Felidae. The record is from RNAcentral.
AUGACAAGGAAGAGGGAGUAUCCUAGGGAGACCCUAAAGAGCUAUGAAAUUUCCCACGGUGUCCCUAGGGACAGUGUUGGGGAAAAAGAUGAAUUGCUUCAGCUCAGUCCAUUUUUAAGACAUUCUGUUCUGAAGAGGACAUUCAAUGUCACUCUACCAAAUCCUUCCCUGAUCAAGAGAGAAAACACUUUUACUACAGGACAAAAAGCCAAACAAAAACGCUCAGGAAGCAAAGUAAAAUCUUCUAAAUGAUAUAUUCUAAAGGUAUUAUCUAUUAAUAUAAAGGUAAGCUGACAGUUCUCUCACAAAGAAGUAAUUCCAUUUUGAUGAUGCCCUCCAUCAGCUACUCAAAGGAACAUAAUUGCUCUUCUAACCUCAAGAGAUAGAAAAAUCUGUUCUUGCAAGACAUUUAAUUCUCUAUUUUUUUUUCUCAAAAUUUUCAUAUUACAAUAGUGGUAUAUAUAUUCACUGCAUUCUUUCUCAAUAUAUAUUACUAGUGCUUCCGUAUAAAAUACAAUGCUGUAUUUUAUAAAGACAUCUGAAAACCCUUUCUUUUUAACUUUAGAAUCUCAUUCUCUAACCAGAGAAUGCAAUUAUUUUCCAGAUACUAGGUGUGCUGAAAAUAAGUACAUGAUGUUAUUAUGUGUGUGUUAUCCACUUGACUUAUUUUCUUACUUGUCAGUUCUCUGAAAUUAUAAAAGUGGAGAAUGAAAAUCACAAAAAAAUGACUUACUUUGUGUAUGCUUUAGUUGGUGUGAAUUUCAUGUACAGAUAGGAGAUCAAGAAAAAUUGAUUAAAUUGUGGUGAUACAUUUACUUCUCUUUAACAGCCUACAUAUUUGGGGAAGAUGGGUAACCUUAAAUAUUAAGUCCCAAAAUUUGGGGGUUCGUGGUCUGCUUCUAACAUGGUCUUGAAAAACAAGUGAGAGAUAAGAAUUAGAUCAAUGAUUUUUAAUUUGGGAGGGAGGGUAGCAUAAGCUCCUUUGGAAUUUUGAUAAAAGCUAUGGAAACAUCUUUGAUAAAAAUAACCUAAAUUUAGCAUAAUUUCAAGGGAUUCAAGCAUGCUUGGACUCUUUCAACGUAUUCUGGUUUAAGAAAACUUCACCUAAAAUGUCUCCAUUGGGGCGUCUGGGUGGUGCAGUCGGUUAAGCGUCCGACUUCAGCCAGGUCACGAUCUCGCGGUCCGUGAGUUCGAGCCCCGCGUCAGGCUCUGGGCUGAUGGCUCGGAGCCUGGAGCCUGUUUCCGAUUCUGUGUCUCCCUCUCUCUCUGCCCCUCCCCCGUUCAUGCUCUGUCUCUCUCUGUCCCAAAAAUAAAUAAAAAACGUUGAAAAAAAAUUAAAAAAAA